GAUGAACGCUGGCGGCGUGCCUAAUACAUGCAAGUCGAGCGAACAGACGAGGAGCUUGCUCCUCUGACGUUAGCGGCGGACGGGUGAGUAACACGUGGAUAACCUACCUAUAAGACUGGGAUAACUUCGGGAAACCGGAGCUAAUACCGGAUAAUAUAUUGAACCGCAUGGUUCAAUAGUGAAAGACGGUUUUGCUGUCACUUAUAGAUGGAUCCGCGCCGCAUUAGCUAGUUGGUAAGGUAACGGCUUACCAAGGCGACGAUGCGUAGCCGACCUGAGAGGGUGAUCGGCCACACUGGAACUGAGACACGGUCCAGACUCCUACGGGAGGCAGCAGUGGGGAAUAUUGCACAAUGGGCGCAAGCCUGAUGCAGCCAUGCCGCGUGUAUGAAGAAGGCCUUCGGGUUGUAAAGUACUUUCAGCGGGGAGGAAGGGAGUAAAGUUAAUACCUUUGCUCAUUGACGUUACCCGCAGAAGAAGCACCGGCUAACUCCGUG
This 497-nucleotide ribosomal RNA is filed under the name uncultured bacterium. RNAcentral describes it as "partial 16S ribosomal RNA". It matches the Rfam family "Bacterial small subunit ribosomal RNA", at positions 28 to 507 of the family's 1533-position model. The record is from RNAcentral.